GACGAACGCUGGCGGCGUGCUUAACACAUGCAAGUCGAACGGAAAGGCCCUGCUUUUGUGGGGUGCUCGAGUGGCGAACGGGUGAGUAACACGUGAGUAACCUGCCCUUGACUGUGGGAGAACUUCAGGAAACUGGGGCUAAUACCGGAUAGGAGCUCCUGCUGCAUGGUGGGGGUUGGAAAGUUUCGGCGGUUGGGGAUGGACUCGCGGCUUAUCAGCUUGUUGGUGGGGUAGUGGCUUACCAAGGCUUUGACGGGUAGCCGGCCUGAGAGGGUGACCGGCCACAUUGGGACUGCGAUACGGCCCAGACUCCUACGGGAGGCAGCAGUGGGGAAUAUUGCACAAUGGGCGGAAGCCUGAUGCAGCAACGCCGCGUGCGGGAUGACGGCCUUCGGGUUGUAAACCGCUUUCGCCUGUGACGAAGCGUGAGUGACGGUAAUGGGUAAAGAAGCACCGGCUAACUACGUG
This 468-nucleotide ribosomal RNA is filed under the name uncultured bacterium. Its description in RNAcentral is "partial 16S ribosomal RNA". It matches the Rfam family "Bacterial small subunit ribosomal RNA", at positions 28 to 507 of the family's 1533-position model. The record is from RNAcentral.